Molecule: long non-coding RNA, 381 nt
Organism: Chinchilla lanigera (long-tailed chinchilla)
Lineage: Eukaryota; Metazoa; Chordata; Mammalia; Rodentia; Chinchillidae
Exons: 2
Source: RefSeq, a predicted model, not a curated record
UGUGAGUGGAGGAGACACUGUAAGCAGGAUACAAGCUACAGUCCAGCCAGAAGGCAUUGGACAGUCCAAGUACUUUCUGGUUAAUCCUUGUCUGAUGGGCCCUCACUGGACCUCUGGAGCAGUGUUGAUAGAACCCUCUGAGCUUGCCCAGAUUUCCCCAGUUUUACCAUGUCCUCCAGGAUAAAAGUCCAAGACUGCAAAUGAUGUGUAUAUGGUGGUCACCUGCUUAGAUUUACAAGAAACUACCAAACCAAGUCAAACUCUGGUUACAGAAGCUAAAAUGAACAAUGGUUUAAAGAGAGGGAAUGUUGUAAGAGAUGCAAAGAAACUGAUCACUUGUGCACAGCUGAUGGGAAUAUAAAAUGGCACAGCUACUCUGGA